GUGAGCUGGUUAACACUACUGGUUGGUGUAUCAAAGAGCUAGGAAAUCCCCGUGGGGGCCCGGUGCGCAGUGGCUGCAGACAGCAGCCUCCUUGGUAGUGUAUGCAGCCUGUUGCCUGUAUGGGUUGCCCUAAGGGACCUUGGAGACAGCC
RNAcentral lists this small nucleolar RNA (151 nucleotides) under Balaenoptera musculus (blue whale). RNAcentral describes it as "Small nucleolar RNA SNORA70 (ENSBMSG00010019613.1)". The stretch from base 24 to 151 matches the Rfam family "Small nucleolar RNA SNORA70". Rfam says of the family: snoRNA U70 seems to be exclusive to mammals and is a member of the H/ACA class of snoRNA which contain H (ANANNA) and ACA box motifs. The record is from Rfam by way of RNAcentral. Lineage: Eukaryota; Metazoa; Chordata; Mammalia; Artiodactyla; Balaenopteridae.